UACGAAGGGGGCUAGCGUUGCUCGGAAUUACUGGGCGUAAAGGGAGCGUAGGCGGCUUAGUAAGUCGGAUGUGAAAACUCGGGGCUCAACCCCGAGACGCCAUCCGAUACUGCUGUGGCUUGAGUCUGGUAGGGGAACACGGAAUUCCUGGUGUAGCGGUGAAAUGCGCAGAUAUCAGGAGGAACACCGAUGGCGAAGGCAGUGUUCUGGGCCAGUACUGACGCUGAGGAGCGAAAGCGUGGGGAGCAAACAGG
RNAcentral lists this ribosomal RNA (254 nucleotides) under uncultured bacterium. RNAcentral describes it as "partial 16S ribosomal RNA". It matches the Rfam family "Bacterial small subunit ribosomal RNA", at positions 524 to 776 of the family's 1533-position model. The record is from RNAcentral.